This 465-nucleotide ribosomal RNA is filed under the name uncultured bacterium. RNAcentral's name for it is "partial 16S ribosomal RNA". It matches the Rfam family "Bacterial small subunit ribosomal RNA", at positions 28 to 507 of the family's 1533-position model. The record is from RNAcentral.
GACGAACGCUGGCGGCGUGCUUAACACAUGCAAGUCGAACGGAAAGGCCCCUUCGUGGGUACUCGAGUGGCGAACGGGUGAGUAACACGUGAGUAACCUGCCCUUGACUUCGGGAUAACUUCAGGAAACUGGGGCUAAUACCGGAUAGGAAUACUUGCUGCAUGGUGGGGGUUGGAAAGCUUCGGCGGUUUUGGCUGGACUCGCGGCUUAUCAGCUUGUUGGUGGGGUAGUGGCUUACCAAGGCUUUGUCGGGUGGCCGGCCUGAGAGGGCGACCGGCCACAUUGGGACUGAGAUACGGCCCAGACACCUACGGGACGGAGCAGGGGGGAAUAUUGCACAAGGGGCGGAAGCCUGAUGCAGCAACGCCGCGGGCGGGAUGACGGCCUUCGGGUUGUAAACCGCUUGCAGCAGGGGCGAAGCUUGUGGUGACGGUACCUGCAGAAGAAGCACCGGCUAACUACGUG